GGGACUUUAAAGCAGUUACAAAAAGAUCAAAUUUAAUUUUCAUUUAAUUUUAUUUCAUAUACUUUAAUUUAAUGCUCUAAUUUAACUUAUACCACUAGACUGUUAAGACUUUCACCCACUGCAGCCUCCAUGGCUUGUAAAAGCACCACUGAAGAGCCGAGAACUGCAGUUCCUUGAGUGUCCAGAUGUUAGGAGGCUCGCUCCAAAAGUGAGUCCAACCCUGUUAGGUCUCACACUAAAAAGCCCAACUUUACAGCAAAAAUACACACUCUUUCAGUUUGGUAAAACUUUUUGUUAACUCACUUCUGUUAACUUUCAAACUCUUAGAGGAUUAGAGCAGACAGUUCACUGAACUUGAGGCAUGUAAAAAGAGGUUGACAGAUUAUUGGGUCACAUCACAGUUCCCCCGUCAGUGUAUUUAUACAGUCAAUGAUUUCAUCUGGUGCAAUAAGGUAAAAGUUCCAAUUUUGUAACUCUGUGGGGAAAACCACCAAGUGGACCCAGUCACUUCCCCGCAGUGACACCAGUGACAUGUCUUCCCUCAGAUUUGCGUUCAGUUUGACUGGACGCUGUGGCAACAAUGUAAACAGGAAGACCAUAGAUAGUGCAGCUAUGCACAGAGCCCUCAGGGCAUUCACUCUCCCAUGGCUUCGCGCACCUUGACCCAGGCAGAUAACCAUCUGAAUACGUGAUCAACAGCAGGACAUGUUUGAAGACAGGAGAUGAUUUCCACUGAUUUGAAUUUCAAAAUUAUUUCAAUGAAACAAAAGGCUUCGUUAGAAGUUGACGUAAUCUCACAUUUGGUGCCUUUAUAAUGCCAAAGUUCACAAACACAGUAUGUGAAGCUGUGACGCCACAGUGGUGUUGUUGCAGUUGAUGUUGUUGCCUCACAGUAAAAAGGUUUCUGGUUUAAGUCCCAGCUGGGGCCCUCCUAUGUGUCUCUCUCUGGGUUAUUUCCAGGCACUGUAGCUUCUUCCAAGAAUCCAAAGACAUUCUCGUUUGGUAAGUCGGUUGUCUUCACACAAAAUGCCCAAACCCCAUGGGUUUACAAGAUACCAAAAAUACAAUAACAGCGCUCUAAACAUGUCAAGUUAUGAUAAAUGAUUGUAUAAUGUUGCUUGCUUUUAAAUAUUACACUCUGCCUUUUCUCUUCCGAAACACAGCUCAAGUUUUUCAUAAUCAUCUUAAAAUAAAACAGCAUAAAUGGAAGACAUUUUUAUUAACAAAAACCUCCCUUAAGUCAUCAUCGACAGUCAAACAGAAAACGAAGUCACACAACAAACAGAUUGUGUCCUUUUCAGGUGUGGCCUUUAACUUCCCUUUUUCGAAAGCUAAAGGUAAGGUUCCUGAGCGCAACUGUGCACAGAGACCUUUGUCUUUUGAUAUACUGAAGACUCCUCACCACAAAUACUCUUUCUCCAAAAAUAAGUUCAUAGCUUAGUUUUUUUUCCCUGUAUUUUGAAAACUUAUUACUCCUAAUCUCCUAUGAUUCAAUCCAUGGUAUUUUGUGCUACUUUGCAAAUUUUCAUCAUAGUAUUUACCUCCUCAAUUUUUUGUCAGUCUUACUAAUAUCAGAUAAGUGAGCAGAAAUCCAGAAGUCUCUUGUGGUAAUAAUUUACCGGGACAAAUAUUUUUUCUAUCUGUAAUUAUUCAAUGAAACAUUACCCAAGUUCAGCAAGAUUGUUUCUCAUUUAUAAGCAUUAAUAUUUUGAAAAAAAAAACAACAACAACAACAACAACAUUAUGCUCUCUUAGUAUCAGUAUCGGCCUCAGCCAGUGAAAAACUAUAGGGAGACCACUUCCCGCAAUAGUUAGAACCCAAAACCCCACAAAAAAGGUGUCCAAAAAUCUUUUCAUGUCUGCCACCUUUUUUUACUUUAAAUCUACUGAAGUGACAAUGCCAAACAAAGAUUGCACAAAACGCAGAUAACUAACUCUGAGAAAUGAAGCCUCUCAGAGAGAAAAAAAAAAAAGCCCUUCCUCAAAUGUCCACUUGAAACUGGCUUCAAAAGCCAAAGAGUCCUCUUUAGGUCCCAUGAUGAAAUACCAAACUUUACAGCACAAUAAACCUGCUCACAGCUCGCUUCAACAGCCGAUAGAGCUCAUUUCACUGUACGUACAUUUUCAUAAUGGGUCCAUUAGAACGACAUUGCGCAUUAAACCUGGGCUUGGCUGAGUUGACUAAUAGGACACAUGGUUUUUUGCUGAGAGUUGAAUUGAAUCUGUGUGACCAUUAUUAGGCUACAAAAACAAAGUGACGGUACACACGUCCACAUUUUCUACAUUCUAAUGAGAUACAAGCAUGUGAGAUCAACAUGAGGGCACAUUGCUGCUGCUGCUGCGUACAAGUGGGAUUGACAGACACUCAUCAAGAUUACAUAAUCUUUAACAAGUUCCAUUCAAACUGCCAAGUAUUUUAUUGCUCUAAUCUGGCGAGCUCAUUACUCAGCUAUGGAAACUACCUGCUAUGAUAGUAGUACAAUGGAGGUACCAAAGAGAAAAAUGUUCCAACAUAAAUUGAACUUGUGUGUUACAUAAGAUCAAGUGCACACUCUCUAAGAAAUUUGAUGAUGAUUUUUUAGUGUCUGGAUGACAUCAAGAAACCUGAGCUGUCCUCCUCUUCCUCCAGAUUCAGCAGAAAUGAGGCAGCUGUUUAUGCUAAACACCAGCACAGACAAAGACAAGCGUUUUUCCAUGGUGGUGGUCCGUACUGCCAUGGCAAUGGGCAGUGAGUUUGUUUGAAACUCUAACACAGGUCCUGUGGUCUGGUGGUGUCUGACGUCAGGAGACUGGCCCCGGUGUCUGUGAGCCGCCCCGGUUCAGGCUGGGCUGGCGGCUGUUACUGCCAGGAGAUCCAGCUGACAGCCAGUCCACCUCGUUUCUCCACUCCAGCAGCCAGGCUCUGAAAGCAUCCACAGCCCUGAGGCUGAGGCAGGAGAGGAAGAGAACCACUUCCAGCAAAACAAACCUGCUCUCCCCAUAUCCACUUUAUAAAAACAAAUGUCUUCCUGCAGUUUCUCCCUGCCAGCUGCUGUUUGUUUUGAGUUGGGUUGACGGUGAGGACUGUAGUCACUGGGCAGGAUGACUGGCUAAUAUGGGGCAUUCCAGGAUAAUUCAAUAACAGAGCGGGCCUGUGUGUAAAUGGCAAAGAUCAGCUCAGAGUGGCUGAGACAGAUCGGUGAGGAAGUUUGCUGUAAAAGACAGUUCUAAAGAAAGUGAUGAAUCUGGAAAAAGAUGAGAUGAGGCAGUUGUCUUCCUCUCGGGCCUCUUGUAUAUAUGUGUGUGUGUGUUUGUGUCAAGUUUAAAAUGAAGGAUUUGGACAAUAACAGGAUGUGUCCUUCCCAGAAAACUGUCACAAAUCAUCUCGUUAUCAAAUAUGGCGGCAGUUGUCAAAGAUAUGCCAUUGUUUCUCUCUCAGUGGGAUUUUUCUUUGCAUGGAGCUGUCUCGAAUAUCUGCAAAUACAUAGAUUUUAUAUGGCAGCCAUUAUACAAUCUACAGAAGGAGAAAAGCAUUAGCACUGUUAAAACACAACCCAAUGUAAGAUGUGUGGACCCUACAACCAACCAUCCUUUUUGGUCAAAAAAUGUGCAAAAUGAAGAUUUUAAGGUAAUAACAUGGAUAAAUGUAGUCGUCUUAUUUUCUUAUGUCAACCCUUUAGAAGAAAUAUUCUGUCAGUGAGAAAACAAUAAGUGAUUCCUCUGUGUCUACAGCAGUUGUCAGUGUCACAUCACAUUUAUCAUGAUGUGUUUGAAGUCAUGGCACCAGCGUGACAUUUGUGUUAAUUCCUCUGGGCUCUUCAUCCAGCGCACAGCUAGCUGACAAUGGUUCAGCUAUGGAAGGGAACAUCCCUGUGGGGACACAAGAGGCACAGAAGUCCGCCUUGUUUGUCAAAGAAAUAAGAAUAAAAAAAACACACUUGGAUCACACAGGCAUUCAUGAGACACUGAAGCACGUUUUGCAACCAAAACCUAAAAGUCCACAAGUCUGGCUGCUUGGAUCAAGGUAUAAAUCUACUU
Non-coding RNA from Xyrichtys novacula (pearly razorfish), 4017 nucleotides. Lineage: Eukaryota; Metazoa; Chordata; Actinopteri; Labriformes; Labridae. The record is from the annotation of a GenBank genome assembly.